Molecule: long non-coding RNA, 1069 nt
Organism: Xenopus laevis (African clawed frog)
Lineage: Eukaryota; Metazoa; Chordata; Amphibia; Anura; Pipidae
Exons: 4
Source: RefSeq, a predicted model, not a curated record
AUUGUGAAUGCAGCUUAAGCAUUUUGAAAUAUAAAGUUAUAUAGUUAUAUUGAUAGUGUUACAAACUCACAACAUUGCAACUUAUAUACAAUAAGUAUUUAUUUGCAUGGAAAAGUUCUAAAACCACAUGCUAGCACCAAAAUAGCCUAAACUAAGUAUAUCAUCAUCACCCCCCCCCCCCUUGAACUACUAUUCAUAAUACACACACUGUCAAAUAGUAUAGUCACUUUUUGAGCAGUAUGCCUUUAAGGGCUGCAUGCUGUGAUAUCAGCACAUUAUGACAUCAUAAUGCCUGUGAACAAGAAAGUAAACAACAAUCCCUGGUUAGCUCUAGUUAGUGUCGUUGUUGCUUUGCCCUGACAUAGACGAAGACAUGACGAUGAUUUCCCAAAUUCUUUUUACAAUCUUAAUUUAUCAACUAUUUUUAUUGAACCGUGCAGGUAAGUAUACUGAGAAUUAGAAAUAAAUUGUCUUUAUUUCUCCUGAAGUCUUGAAUGUGUGCCAGGCAAACUUAAGGUAUAACAAGUUUUCUCUUUUCUCUACAGAAGAAACAACUGCCCCCUCUUUUAAUGAUGGUGGAGCACAAAAGUUAACCUACAUCGAGCAGACAUUUGCAUCCCUGAGAGAACUUUCAGAUGAGAGGGUGGAGAAGUUAUUUAUAGUACUACGCUGCUUCCCGAUUUUUGCAAUCGUAUUUAUUUUCCUGGCACUACUGUGUAACUCACUCCUGAAAAGAUAUCGGAAGCAUGAGGAGGAUAAGCUGAAGCUGGCUGAGGAAGGACUUGCUUUUCGAUCUAGUGAAGAAGAAGAAACUGAAGAUGAAGAACAAUGAAAGGAAGAGAAGGAGAAUGAUGGCUUUUCAGAAUAAUUAAAUGAGCCACAUAUACAUUUUGAAAAAUAGUGCCUGGCAUCCAAAACUGCAAAAGGACAACCUAAAAAGGACACUAUCAUUUAAAUGUUUUUUAUUUGUUCCUUUUUAUUGUAGACUAUGCAGUGUUGGACUGGGAUGCCAGGGGCCCACCAGAAAACCUUAGGCUGAGGGCUAUUAUUCCUCCUCUCCUCACUCAAC